Molecule: transfer RNA, 73 nt
Filed under: Rattus norvegicus (Norway rat)
Lineage: Eukaryota; Metazoa; Chordata; Mammalia; Rodentia; Muridae
Rfam family: tRNA
About the family: Transfer RNA (tRNA) molecules are approximately 80 nucleotides in length.
Source: Rfam by way of RNAcentral
GGAGAGAUGGCUCAGUGGUUAAGAGCACUGGCUGCUCUUUCUGAGGACCUGGGUUCAAUUCCUAGUACCUCCA